UCGAACGCGAAAGGCCCCUUCGGGGGCCGAGUAGAGUGGCGCACGGGUGAGUAACACGUAGGUAAUCUACCUCUGGGUGGGGAAUAACAGCCGGAAACGGCUGCUAAUACCGCAUAACGCAGCGGCACCACAUGGUGACAGUUGUUAAAGCGGGGGAACUUCGGUCCUCGCGCCUGGAGAGGAGCCUGCGGCGGAUUAGCUAGUUGGCAGGGUAACGGCCUACCAAGGCAACGAUCCGUAGCCGGCCUGAGAGGGCGGUCGGCCACACUGGCACUGACAUACGGGCCAGACUCCUACGGGAGGCAGCAGUCGGGAAUUUUGGGCAAUGGGCGAAAGCCUGACCCAGCAACGCCGCGUGAAGGAUGAAGUUUCUCGGAAUGUAAACUUCACAAGAAUGGGAAGAAUAAGAAAGGGCUAAUACCCCUUUCGAUGACGGUACCAUUUGUAAGCUCCGGCUAACUCCGUGCCAGCAGCCGCGGUAAUACGGGGGAAGCAAGCGUUGUUCGGAUUUACUGGGCGUAAAGGGCGCGUAGGCGGCGUGACAAGUCACUUGUGAAAUCUCCGGGCUUAACUCGGAGCGGUCAAGUGAUACUGUCGUGCUAGAGUGCGGAAGGGGCUACUGGAAUUCUCGGUGUAGCGGUGAAAUGCGUAGAUAUCGAGAGGAACACCUGCGGCGAAGGCGGGUAGCUGGGCCGACACUGACGCUGAGGCGCGAAAGCUAGGGGAGCGAACGGGAUUAGAUACCCCGGUAGUCCUAGCCUAAACGAUGGAUGCUUGGUGUCCGGGGGUACAAAGUCCC
Molecule: ribosomal RNA, 799 nt
Filed under: uncultured bacterium
Lineage: Bacteria
Description: bacterial SSU rRNA
Rfam family: Bacterial small subunit ribosomal RNA
Source: RNAcentral